UAUAAGUAUCUUGAACCUUAAGUUGG
RNAcentral lists this non-coding RNA (26 nucleotides) under Mus musculus (house mouse). The record is from RNAcentral. Lineage: Eukaryota; Metazoa; Chordata; Mammalia; Rodentia; Muridae.